This 251-nucleotide ribosomal RNA is filed under the name uncultured bacterium. Its description in RNAcentral is "partial 16S ribosomal RNA". It matches the Rfam family "Bacterial small subunit ribosomal RNA", at positions 524 to 776 of the family's 1533-position model. The record is from RNAcentral.
GACGGGGGGGGCAAGUGUUCUUCGGAAUGACUGGGCGUAAAGGGCACGUAGGCGGUGAAUCGGGUUGAAAGUGAAAGUCGCCAAAAAGUGGCGGAAUGCUCUCGAAACCAAUUCACUUGAGUGAGACAGAGGAGAGUGGAAUUUCGUGUGUAGGGGUGAAAUGCGUAGAUAUCGUAAGGAAGACCAGUGGCGAAGGCGGGUCUCUGGACAGUUCCUGACGCUGAGGCACGAAGGCCAGGGGAGCAAACGGG